AUUGAACGCUGGCGGCAGGCCUAACACAUGCCAGUCGAGCGGAUGAAGGGAGCUUGCUCCUGGAUUCAGCGGCGGACGGGUGAGUAAUGCCUAGGAAUCUGCCUGGUAGUGGGGGAUAACGUCCGGAAACGGGCGCUAAUACCGCAUACGUCCUGAGGGAGAAAGUGGGGGAUCUUCGGACCUCACGCUAUCAGAUGAGCCUAGGUCGGAUUAGCUAGUUGGUGGGGUAAAGGCCUACCAAGGCGACGAUCCGUAACUGGUCUGAGAGGAUGAUCAGUCACACUGGAACUGAGACACGGUCCAGACUCCUACGGGAGGCAGCAGUGGGGAAUAUUGGACAAUGGGCGAAAGCCUGAUCCAACCAUGCCGCGUGUGUGAAGAAGGUCUUCGGAUUGUAAAGCACUUUAAGUUGGGAGGAAGGGCAGUAAGUUAAUACCUUGCUGUUUUGACGUUACCAACAGGAUAAGCACCGGCUAACUUCGUG
RNAcentral lists this ribosomal RNA (484 nucleotides) under uncultured bacterium. Its description in RNAcentral is "partial 16S ribosomal RNA". It matches the Rfam family "Bacterial small subunit ribosomal RNA", at positions 30 to 507 of the family's 1533-position model. The record is from RNAcentral.